AGUAGCCGUUCAGUUCUUCAGUUCCAGAGUUCAUAGCACAUAUCUCAUGAAUGCGUCACCUGUAAUUUAAGCUGGCGAGCGUGAGGAUGCUGCCGUGGGCGAAGGCACACCUGAACCCGACCGGGCAGGCCCUCAUCAUCUCCACCGUCGCCGGGAUGGCCUACUUCAUCGUGGCCGACAAGACCAUCCUCUCCAUGGCCAGGAAGCACUCCUUUGAGGACGCGCCGGAGCACCUCAAGAACACCUCCUUCCACUAAUUAGACUAUAAAAUAGAUCCAUUAGUAGUCCGUAAUAGUCUGCACGCCGGACUGGAAGUGUCUGCUGAAAGAUGGUAUUGUAAUGUUCAGGCAGCACUUCUAUGAAAUCAGGCGAGUGGUGUAGUACUGCGCUUCUUUGCCCGCAAGAACUUAUCUGAUGAAGUGAUCAUGUAUCCACCCAGUAACCUUGAAUUAAUAAUGACUUGCAUUUGUACAACUCAGGCUCACCUGCCAUCACUCAUCUUACAUUUUCUUGUUUGUGAUUAUCGUUUGAAAUGGGACACUGGGAGAGCAUGCACACGGCCGACACAACACCGCAUCAUUUGAUCCCCUACUCCUCAACUGUUCUGCGGUGUACGUCAGGAUCAUGCCACCCCACUUUGUUAAAUCUUUUGCGGACCGGGCUGCGGGAGGCAGGUGGCUCUGUAGGGUGGCCCCAGUAAUCUUUCACUUCAAAUGUUGUGUACUGCUAUUUUGAACAUUUGUAAUGAUAAAUGUGAGUUUAAAUCGCCACUUUUCAUUUAGUAUAUACAUCCGAAUGUACGUACUCCGUAUUGAAAUCUCUAAAAGGGCUUAUAUUUAAGAACGGAUGGAGUAAUAAUAAGUAAAAGUUGUAAAAAAUUAAAUUUGGCAUGGUGACGUUGGUACAUGAACUUGUCAUGGAAAUCUCACACGAUUUCUCGAAACGUGGAAAAAACACUUGAUUAGAAAUGGCCCCUUUUGGCACAGUGUCCGAAUAUUGGUACAUGCUUAGUAGUUUUUUUAUGAUAAAAAUGCUGGCAAUGGAUCCACAUCUCAGUCGAUUCCUGGAGCUAAGCAGGGUGGUUUUCCUACUGGGCUCCUUCCAUCCCCAGUGAGGCCUUGUUCGGUUAAGCCACUCCCCAAGUGGAUUGGAGUGGAAUAGAGGGAAUUUGGGGGGAAUUUGAACUAGAUGGGAUUUAAUCCAUGCCAAUCCCUCUCAUUUGCCAUGGAACCGAACAAGGCCUGAGGAAAACCAGACCCCAUUCACGAAUCACAUGAGAGUAUGAAAUCUGAUGACUCAUUACAUACCACUUUGCUCAUUGAGUCCAUGGCUCGUGAGAUGGAUCAUGAUGAAAAAGUGAGCCCAUGUGUUGGAAAAGCUCUUACUACUUUAUGCAUGAGUGGUGAAAAAAAAACUUAUUCUGAUGUGGUAAACACUCUUCCUAAGGUUGUGGAGGUGGAUGAGCAAAAUGACUCAAAUCUGAAAAUCAUCAAUGACUACAUGGUCGAGUUGCCUGACGUUCAAGUGGACAUUGAGGUGAUUCCUACACCUCCCUUAGUUACGGAAGAGAAUCUGCGUUUCAGUCUGCGCAAUGUGCAAAACAAGAUGGCUAGUGUGGAGGAAAAAGCUAUGGCAGUGGCUAAGAAGAGGGACAUUGAAGGUACUCCCAGAGACCUCAACUCUUUUGAUGCAUUAUCAAAUUCUGAACUUAUUCUUAGAGCAGUCAAGAUGGGAGUUAAUAUUCCAGGUGCAGAUUUUGAUAGUGUGGAUAUUCUAAGGGAAUUGAAAAAUGUAGAAUCAGGGAUAGUUUGAAUGNNNNNNNNNNNNNNNNNNNNNNNNNNNNNNNNNNNNNNNNNNNNNNNNNNNNNNNNNNNNNNNNNNNNNNNNNNNNNNNNNNNNNNNNNNNNNNNNNNNNNNNNNNNNNNNNNNNNNNNNNNNNNNNNNNNNNNNNNNNNNNNNNNNNNNNNNNNNNNNNNNNNNNNNNNNNNNNNNNNNNNNNNNNNNNNNNNNNNNNNNNNNNNNNNNNNNNNNNNNNNNNNNNNNNNNNNNNNNNNNNNNNNNNNNNNNNNNNNNNNNNNNNNNNNNNNNNNNNNNNNNNNNNNNNNNNNNNNNNNNNNNNNNNNNUGGGAAGAAAAAAGAGAGAAAGGUUAAUAUUGUUAUAUCUGGACCUACUACCAGAAGUCAAAAAGGGGGUGUUUCCUUACAAGAUGAUAAGGGUAACUCUACUUUGCCUCCUAGUAGAGUUACCAAGAGGGGGGGGGGGUCAAAAAGAAAAAAAUGAAUGGUCUAUUUUUGAAUUGGAGAGGAGCAGGUAAGAAAGGGAUGACUACCUGCUUCUCUGAAAUCAUUAGAGAUCAUUCCCUCAACUUUAUUGGCCUCCAAGAGACUAAGAAAACCAAAUUUACUCCUAAGUACUUGAGGAAGAUUGACCCCUUUGAGAGAUUCAAUUUGAACUGGGUCCCCUCCAUUGGAAAAUUGGGUGGGAUUUUGUGUGGGGUCAAAAAGAGAAACCUUAGACAGUGUUGCAUGGACAGUGGGUAAAUAUCUCCUUCAAGUUAAUGUGUUUGAUGUAAAGCUAAAAUGCAUGUGGGCCCUCAUAGUUGUAUAUGGGGCUGCCCACGAUGAAAAUAAAGAAGAAUUCCUAGCUGAGUUACCUCGGUCUGCUCCCAUAUUAGAUUACCCUAUAUUAUGGGUGGUGAUUUCAACAUCCCGCGGGAUAGUAGCGAAAAAAAUAAGCACUUGACCCGUUCUCAUUAUGUGGAUAAAUUCAAUGAUGUCAUUCACUCCUUGAACCUACAUGAGAUAGAUAUGGGAGGAGGUAAAUAUACUUGGACCAACAACCAAAAACACCCCACCUUAGAGAAACUAGACAAAGUUCUGAUGAGCUUUGAUUGGGAAGAUCUCUUCCCUCUAGUCACGGUUUGCAAGUCAGUAAGAGAUAUGUCAGAUCACAAUCAUUUACUGUUAUCCUCGAGUCCUAUGAAAACAAGCCCCCUUCACCAUCGUGAAUUUAGAUUCGAGCGUAGCUGGCUAAAAAAUGAGGUUUUUUUAUCAUAAAGCUAAGAGCAUUUGGGAACAGUAGUUAACUCGAGUGACCCGAUUGAUAUCCUUAACAUUAAGUUGAAACGUAUCAAGAAAUACUUUAAAGGUUGGGGAUCCCACUCCUUUGGCCAUGCUAGAAAAAGAAAGCAAAAGAUAAAGGAGGAGUUAGAAGAAAUUGAGAAAAAGGAAGAGGUCGGACCCCUUGAUCCUGAUAUGUAUGAAAAAAGAACUACCUUAUGUGCUGAGCUUAAUGACAUCCUUGCUGAUGAGGAACUCUUUUGGCUACAACACUCGAACGAGCGUUGGCUGCUCAAAGGAUAUCAAAAUACUGCCUUUUACCAUCGCGUUGCUAAUGGGAGGAAAAGAAAAAAAUGCUAUCCAUUCUCUAACGAAUGGGGAGGUGGUAAUUGAGGGCACAAAAAAUCUCCUAGCCCAUGUCACCUCCUUCUAUAAGGAUCUGUUUGGCCCAGCCAGAGGAAAUCUUUUCCUUCUGUCCCUAGAUACCUGGACUGAGGGAGAAAAACUUACUAGCGAAGAUAAUUUCCUACUCACUAGUGAGUUUAUAGAGGAGGAAGUUAAAAAAGCCUUGUUUGGCAUGGAGAGCAACAUAACCCUUGGUCCGGAUAAUAUACCGGCAGGAUUCUAUAAACACUGCUGGGAUUUUGUAAAAAAAUGACAUAAUGUGUCUUUUUAAAGCUUUCCAUGACAACACGUUGGAUAUUGAAUGCUUGAAUUAUGGAGUGAUUACCCUACUCCCAACAAUGAAUGGGGCUAAAAAAAUCCAACAAUAUCGUCCCAUCUGCUUACUUCGGUGUCCCUAUAAGCUAAUCACCAAGGUGCUUGAUAAUAGGGUGGCUGUUUAUGUUGAUAAGCUAAUCAGCCGGCAUCAGAAUGCAUUCAUUAAGCACAGAAACAUAAUGGAUGGGAACCUUACUCUCCACGAGGUGUUUCACCACACACAUCACAAGAAAAAGUGGGGUUGGUCUUGAAACCGGACUUUGAAAAAGCCUACGACAAGAUUAAUUGGGAUUUCCUUCUGGAAUAUCAUCGUAACCGUGGCUUUGGUAAAACCCGGUGUGGAUGGGUGGAGAAAAUUUUACACAAUGGCACAGUGAGUAUUAGACUAAAUAAUGAAGUGGGCCCUUAUUUCCAAAGCCACAAAGGAGUACGCCAAGGCGGCCCCUAUUCUCCUUUUCUAUUCAACCUAGCUGUUGAGACCCUACCGAAGAUGAUCCUUAAUGCUCAAAAAGAAAAACUCCUUACUGGGUUGGCUCCUAAUCUGAUUGAAUGGGGAGUAGCUAUCUUACAAUACGCAGACGAUACUGUGAUAUGCAUAGAACAUAAUAAAGAUGCUGUUGUAAACUUGAAACUUCUGCUAUAUAUGACCGAGCUUAUGUCAGGCCUAAAAGUCAAUUUCCUCANNNNNNNNNNNNNNNNNNNNNNNNNNNNNNNNNNNNNNNNNNNNNNNNNNNNNNNNNNNNNNNNNNNNNNNNNNNNNNNNNNNNNNNNNNNNNNNNNNNNNNNNNNNNNNNNNNNNNNNNNNNNNNNNNNNNNNNNNNNNNNNNNNNNNNNNNNNNNNNNNNNNNNNNNNNNNNNNNNNNNNNUGAGGACACGCUGGCCUUUUAUGCGGAGUUGUUUAAUUGUAAUAUUGGGAACUUCCCAAUGAAAUACUUGGGAGUCCCAGUCGGUUAUUCAAAUCUUCGUGUCUUGGAGUGGGACUUUGUUGAUGAAAGAUUCCUUAAAUGCUGCGAAGCCUGAAUUGGGAAUGCAGCAUCCUCGGGAGGAAGACUUAUACUACUCAAUUCCUCACUUACGAGCAUUGUGUACUGAUACGUCCAUUUUGCAUCAUGCAGCAUCCUCGGAAUGUAGAAGAAUAAUACAAUGAAAGUGGCAUAGUCUUUCUUCUCUUCCAGCAAUUGAUUUCCCACUCUUGCUCAUAUGCAUUCCACUAUGAUGAAGCAGGUCCAAGUCUCUCGCUUGACAGCAGAGUAGGGCAGGGUGUGACUCGGUGUUAACCUUGGCCUGAAAUGGACAAAAAUUAUGAUAUCAUAGGGAGAACAACAUUAAUAACAUAUGAAAAUACCCAUUAUACAUAGGGGAUUACCUAAAAUUGGUGAUCAUAUUUCAUUGCCUGUGCAUGCAAUCGCCAUUUACAACAUUUUGUUUGCCUACAAUGCGCCCUAAGCAUUUUUUGGUUAAUCUUUUUUAGUGAUAAACUCAAACUCCCUUCUAUAGCCAUAAGUUGCAAGUGCUUAUCUACAGUCCUCCACGGAAUCAAUGAUAGUCUCUGCUUUCAUAUUAGAGUCGCCCUACCUAAGGAGAUUACAGACCUAUCAUCUUCUUCUUCUAGACUGUGAGAUGCCAUUGCCUAUUCCUUGUCGUCGUCAGUCAAAUAGCCAGCCACAUACACAUGUCGAUAAGUUUUCUCAUCAUUAGUGGGUAAAUCUUACCAAGUCUAAUUGUUAACAGCAUGAAACAACAUCCACAUGGUCCUCAUAGACACGUGUCUACCAAACAUCAACAACAAACAAUCAUCAUCAGCUACGUCAAUAAAUUUCUCUAGUGUCAUAGUGCCUCAUCAGGUAAUGCUCGUUGGGAUGAUAGUAAUACUUCUCAAAUUGCUUAAUUCGGUCCUUCUGACUUACUAACAUAGCGUCUAUAGGCAAUUGAUAGUGAAACCCGCCACUAAUUUCCAAGCUACCACCGGUCAAGCGAUGGGUGUAACACCCAUGCAGAAUUUUCAAGAACAUCAAGAAGUUGUUUGGAGGUACAAUCCAACGCAAAGUAGAAAAUCAUGAGUGCGAUAUUCGAAUAGAAAAAAUGUGAAUCGUCAAAAAGGUUCAAGAUAAUGGUGGAUUUCUUACCCCCAUGGGCGAAACGAUGCUUUCACUAGGCUCCAGAGGCCCUGGCCGUCGUAAAGAUCUGUCUGAGCGGAGAUCAUGAGAACAUCGAGGUGGCGGUGGUUGCGGAACAGUGGGAGAACGUGACUCGAAGUGGUGGGAAGAAGAGGGCCCCUACCCACCAAUAUUUAGGAACGCGCCACUAUCGACGGCUAGAGGUGGCCCACAACAGACAAAGACAUCAGGUUGGCAAAAAUGGAGAUUAUGGCCUCAACUACGUUCCCCCACAUCGGUUGGAAUGGUCAAAGGGCUCCUUAUUAAUAUUGGUGGCACGAUGUCAAAGUGGAAAAAUGGAAAUUGUGGCCUCAACGGUGUGCCUCCACAUCGGCCGGAGUCUUCUCGUCGCUGCGGUUGAUGUGGCGAAGUAGUGGGUCCCAGAUGGAAUGAGAUGAUGUGUGGGGCAUACAUCUAAUUCUUUUGCAAUCGCAAGUGGCGUGGACUAAAAUACGGAAGUUUGAGUGACAAGACUCAAAUAUACAACUUUGGCAGCGGCACAAACCUAUUUUUCCAUAAAUAUAAUAUUAAAAAAAUCCCUCAUGGGUUUGAUGAUAUUGAUUGGAAAUGUAUAUGUUCAUACUUCUUUCCUAUAAACUAUAUCAAAGCGUAAUCAGACAAAAGUAAUAUACACUCUAUUUUGAAAUGUAGGGAGUAAGCCAUAUCUAUAAAAUAUCAUGACCAUGGCUAUUGAUGAUUUCUCUAUACUACUCAUGUCAUUUAAUAGGAUUUAUUGGCAUUUAUUUGGAUAAGGAUAACCUUUUGUUGUGGGUCGGAUAAGGAUAAGCUUGAUGCAAAAGAAACUGAAACAUGCCGUUUAAUGACAUUAAUUGGAUAAGGACAACCUUAAUGCAACCACAUCUACAUAAGACGACUGAACGGUACAAAUCAUGACCACAAAAACCAUAUCGAUUGAUAGACUAUUGCAUAAUUACAUAUUCUCAGUUGUUCUGUGUUCUUAGGCAAUGACAAAAAAUAGCAUCUUCCAAGUGAUCAUAGCGUUACUCAUGGUGCAAGUCUGCUUGCUCAUGAUGAUGGCAGCACCGGCAGCACAUGCAGCUGCUAGACCAGUGGGGUACAAUCCAGUGUGCUGUCCUAGGAACAUUUACUGUUGCGGGUUCGGUGGCGCAUUGGCCAAUGCACCCGCACCAUCCAUUGAGCCUUGAUGUGUGGUGUUAUUGUCUCCUCGAGGUAGUAAGCUCGACAUAUAAAUGAUAUAUGUAGUUUUAUUGUCUCAUGUGUUACUUGUUCCUGAAUAUUUGUGAUGCUAUUUUCAAGAAGAUAUUGUACUAGCUACUUAUGUAAUAAAAUGGGAGGAGAUUAUUAUAUAUAUUGUGUUAAACAAAGAGAUUCAAAUUUAUGUUUACGUUAUUCCUUUUGGAAACAAGAUUACUUGGACACAUUGCUUUAUGGCAAAAAACCAGUGGUGAGGUGCGUGCCUAUGAGAAUUUCUGUUUUAUCGUUCCGUUGGUCCUCCAUUUGUCGAGAUUGUCUGGGUCGUGGCAACAUGUUUUAUUUUUCACAGAGGUCAUAACUUUUUGUAGCAUUUAUUGAGUGAUGGAGUACAUCACCAAUUAGUAGAAACCAACUACUGUUGGCGAUGCUUGUUUAUGAAUCAAGGGAUCCACACUCUCUUCCUUUUUUGCAAGAAGGCCGAGGCCAUGUAUUAAAAUUGUCCAACCCUUACAACACCAUCCUUACAACAGAAGAAAAAUAGAAAACAUAUCCUGGGUUAUAUCAAGGGCGUCUUCCUUCCGGACUUAUACGGCGUGAGCAAAGCUCGAUGUCGCCUUUGGAUUUCCAGAACACCUUAGAGCCAGGGUAAAUCAUUCUCUACAUUUUUCAAGUGAGUGCUCAAUUCCUAAAAAACAGUCAAAUAACUAGUAUAUAAAUACAACUUUUUAUUCUUUGAUGGAGCACGAAGGGAUUGUUUGCCGUGGAUCCUACAUGUGUAAUCUAUAUAUUAAUCUAUUACUAUACUAAUUAGAGACACCUUCGAAAUUCCCAUGGUUAAUCAGGAAAUACGAACUGCUCAUCUGGUGGGACCAAAUUAUUGCGGUGUAGAUAUUUUAAUUUUUUCUCACAUUAAUAAAAAAUAAACAGUAAUUAUAAGCCACACAUCUGGUGGGACUAAGUUAUUACCGCUAGAAUUUUGCUCCAUUCUAGUAAGCACAAAUAAUAAUCACUCAAAACUUUGUUGUAAAAAUAGAACCCUACAAAAUUACAGUUCAUUCUCUAGUCUCAACAAUUCAAAAGAAGAAAGAAAACUCCCAUCUCAAUAUGGGCACUACACAGUUUCUUCCUCUCCCCAUUAAGAAGAUCAUCAACCGCAAACAAUCUCCAUAUAUUCCAUGGCCACGCAUAGCACUGUCCAUUGGAUUUGCGAUCGAUGGUCUUGGUCGUUGGCGGAGGCCUUCCUCAAUGGUGUGGCCGAACUCGAUCUGCGGGUGAGGUCAAGAUACCGCUUUGGUCCUAGAGGUUUGGUAUAGGGUCUCACAUAAGGAAAAUGGACGAAAAAUUAAGUGAAGGCAGAGAACCCAUAGACAAAGAGAAGCGAAGUUUGUGCCCCAAGCUACUCACUAUGCGCACGUGGUUUCGACACUAGAUGCUGUUUGUUAUUACCAACCAUUUGUAGGCAGUUUGAUUGUUCUAACUAAACCUGGGCAAACGCCUGGUCGGGCCGGGCUUGUAAAAGCCUAACCUUCAUUUCUCAAGCCUGGCUCGAAGCCCAAAAUACUCUCUGUUUUCAAGACCGAGCCCGGCCCGAAAUCAAGCCCGGCUCGGACGCUGUUUUUAUUGUACGCACGUGCAAGCCUGGCCCAAAGCCCGAAAGCCCGGCCCGAAAUACAGAUAAAGAGAAGCCUGAGCUCGGCCUGAACUAUCUUCCAGGUUGCAAAACAAGGCCCGAGCCCACCCCGAAUGUCAAGCCCGGCUGGGCCCUGUCUGUUCAUGCCCGAGUUUAGUUCUAACCCCCACCAGUCUCGGCCUCUGCAUCAAGCGAUGCACACAGUCAUUUAUUAAAAAGUAUCGGGUCUCAAAGUAUGAGUAACAUCUCAAAUUGCCAAACAAGAACAAGAAAUCAAACAAAUAGUUACAACUGGUAAAAUAGGACUAUGCCUGAACACCUAUCUUAUUAACGGACCACCAUCUAAACAGGUUGUAGUAGCCCGUGCAACCAUCUCCCAUGGGUUGCACCCAAAAACCAUAAGCCCGCUCUCUACCACACGGUGCAGUAAUGACCACUUAGGGAUCCAGCCAGUUGCCUGGUAGAUAACCUGCAAAAAGCCUGUGCUAUUUGUCUUGUUAAAAACACAAUCAUUCCGAUAGUUCCAAAUAGCACAAAUUAAUGCACAAACUAAUUUGUGUCGUAAUAUUGGGCUCAACCCCACCUAGCCAGUUACCAAACAAAUUGGAGAUAAUAUUAAGAGGAGGUACGUUCAAUGACACUUGUAUUGUUCGUCACGAUAAGUUGGAUAUGGGGCAAGUGAGAGACAAAUGUUGAGUCGUUUCAUCAUGAUCGCAAAACUACACCGUUUACUCCCCUCCCACCUACGUUUUAAGCCAACUCUAACCGAUCCCCUACAAAAUAGAUGAGGAUCCGUCCGAGCAAAGCUUGGUGGAUUAUAUUUACUCCACUAACUUUUGGCCGGACAUAGUCGAUCCUCUAAAUAUAACAGAGUAAAACUUUUAAUUGGCUUAUUAUGCAAUUCGUUGAACAUGGUGUGCGUCUGCUUGGGGACUCCGACAUGGCGAGCACCCCGACGGCGAGGAACACGGAUUAAACACAUAGCUGACCAGGAUGCAGAUGUUGACAAAAACUGCCACCAAGAUGGCAAGCCAGCCAUUGCCAAUUGCAGCGUGUUGCUUCUGCUGGCAAGCUAAACAUUGCUAAUCACCGGCCAGCACGGCUUGCUACUCGCAUGAUCCUGCUCGUCCUGCACCCCGCCUCGUCCCCCAUCGCGUGUUGCAGCUCCUGUUGCUUCCCCCUGAGGCCUUGUUUGGUAGAGGUGGAUUGAGGAGGUUUUGAGAGGUGGGGAUUGAAGAUGAUUUGGUGAAUCCUUCCCUUUCACCCAAUCCUCUUAAAUUCCCCCAUUUCCCCAAACCCCUCACAUACCCCUACUAUUUGGUACAUAGGGAUUGGUACACUGGGUUUGCAAGAUUACUAUACUAUAGUUAAAAAUGCAAUUUUGACAACUUCCAAAGCUCAAAGAAUCAGUGGCACUCAGAAUCUUUGCUGCAGCCUCAGAUGAUUAAUAUUACCAAGCUAACAUUAAGCAGUGGCACCCAUGGCAAGAAAUGAAACUAGCAAGAUGGAUGCAAGAAUAAGAGGAGAUAAUUAUUAACUGGUGUAAAACAAUCAAGAUAUAACAAGCAUAUUAUCAUGGAGGACUAAAAAUGUAAUGUAAGAGUGAAAACUACAAAUGAUGCGAUAAUACUGAAAUUUCAUUUGUAGAUGACUUUGUACAGGGUAAGUUUCAUGCACAUAAAGCAUCCAAGAUCAUGAUUUCCUGGUGUUUGGGGGACAAGAAAAUACGUGAGAAUUAGGUUCUGAAAAGAAGAAGAAAAUACAGGCGACAGUGCAUUUAUUCAGAGCUUGUUCCUCAAACAAACAAGAAUUGGCCAAUUGAAGAGUUUGCAAUGGAGACAAGGCCUUGAUUUAGAGCAGUUAAUUAGUCCCAAUAUAUUCAGGUGAUAGGUAAUGAUGAGAAGGAUUCACAAAGCAAGCUAGCAAGAUUCGAAUUCAGGCGACAGGGAGCACCGAUUGGGUGGCUUCCAACUUUCCUAGACCCUGACAACGAUUAUCCAUCAAACGAUAUAUCCAUCCAUCCAACGAUUUUCCAUCUAGUGCUACAUAUAUCUCUAGAUAGGCAGAUCCACGACAGGGAUUGACAGCAGUCACCAGGUGGAGCUGGAUACGCAUGGAGCUGGACAAGUUCUUCACUCCAUGGGAGGAGGAAGAAGGCGUGUCCCCCGCCACGGACCUAGGGUUUGCAGGGGAGGGGAUGGAGAAGUGGAGGACUGGAGGAUUCAGCUCGGGAAGAACCGGUGGAGGAGCGCGUCGACGAUCUGGUGGCGGCGGGGCGAUGAAGAUCCGGCAGCGGGACUCCUCCUCUUGGUGGCGGCGGGACGAUGCUCUGUCUCGGUGCGUCUCGCCCGUCUCGUUCCCUGCGGGUGCCCUCGAGGCUUGAAAGACGCGUGGAUAGGAGGGGAUCGAAGGGGGAUCGAGGGGGUUGGGUUGUGCAAACCCCGUGAAACAAAUGGGCCGCCAAAGUUUGUCGAGGUUUUUGAGCCCCGCGGGGUUAAUCCUCUCGAAACCCUCUCGAUCCUCCUGUAUCAAACGAGGCCUGACGGAGGACUGCACCCCGCCACCGGGCUCGACCAUGUAGUGCCUGAAGGGCCUGAACUCCUCCGUUGGACAGGCCUAAGGAAAGCUGAAGCUAGAUGGCGUCGCCGACUGCCUGCGAGAUGGGCCCCGGCAGUGAGUGUGGUGCUGCGUGGCACGAUGGCAGCAUGAGCUGCAGCUUGAGGUCAUGCCGAAAGCUCAUGCCACAGGCGCUCGGGAUGGGACGUGGCACUAGGCGGCGACCCGAUGAAAAGCCAGUGGUGGAGGCGAGGUCGCUGGGGGAGGUGGGUGGCCUAGGCUGCGGGUGGUCACCUAGGGGUGCCGGAGGAAUAGGGUGGCCACAGAGUGGGGAUGGCGCGGUCUUAGGGGGUGGCCCCAGAUUUUACUCGGCCGCCUCCAGGAGGAGUAAAUUUAGGGGUUGGAUAGCCGGAUGAGUAAAAUUUAUCCACCCUAGUACUUCGGCUAUGUGCAGCAUAAAGAAGGAAAAUCCAAUUUAUCCUCCCUUAUAGCCCGAUAGAGGAUCGGUUAGACUUGGUCUUACUAAGUUGUCCUUUGUUAAAAUCACUCAUUAUGCAUGAAUAACCUAAAGGUCUUGAUUUUAAAGGGGCCUUUGCUUUUUAAACUUGAUUUCAGCACGUCCAAAGACCGGUUUGGGUAUUACAGGUGAUGUCGUUCUGUUUGUUCAUAACUGCUUCUAGUGCCCGUUUUUCCUACUAGUGAAUAUUGGUUUCGUGCAUCGAUUUGGGAUGAUUGCUUUGCUCAUGGUGUACUUCGGCGAGUCGGGGUCGCUGGUCGCCUGCGUGCAGCUAUGAAGUUAUUCGUGCAAUUUUUUUCUUAAUUAAUAAAAAUGAAAGUCUUUUACCAAUUUAACAAAUCAAUUAGCAUUAUGCCGAGGAGGGACUGAGGGAGGCCGGCCAAACUGGGGUUGACGAUUGCCGACGCGGCUAGGCGAGCUAGGCCAAAAACAAGGAGCGCUCACACAGACAGAAAUGGAGUGCACGCUGACUGACACUGCACUUACGCACAUCGGCACAUGGUCCUACCUAUACGUGUUAUCCUACGCACGCUCCGUGCCAACCCCGAUGGACGUCUGCCUCCUCUUAUCCGGUGCAGAGUCUAGUAGAGCGCCCGCCCAUCGCGUGCUCCCAUUUUAAUAUGACCAACGAGGCGACGCCACUGUACCUGUGCUCUGCCCCGCCGCACCGCCCCCCGGUUCUACCAAAACCACGGUCUUGCCUCCCACCGUAUCAACUCGCCAUCCUUCCCGCCCGCCGGUUGCGCGGUUUCCAGCAACCUAUAAAUCCCGCCGGAGCACCUUGCUCUGCCAAUCUUAGCUCAUCUCACUCACACUGCUUACUUGACUUCACUACCUAGCUCACUUCCUUCGGAUCUCGUGCCACCAAGCUCUCUUCCACGGCCACGAAGAUGUCUACGGUGACCGGUGCCCACCUAGACCAGAGGCUCGCCGCCGCCAAGCGCUGCUCCAGAGGUAACCAAAACGAUGUCCCGCCGGUCCUGCCGGACAGCAACGCUCGUGUCCUUCUGCUGUCCGCGUCGCAGCCUAUCCCCUCAAAACUUGAUCGUAACUGACAUGUCUCUGUUGAUUUGAAACUGCAGAGGCUGCCAUGGCGGGAGCCAAGGCCGCAGCCGUCGCCACCGUCGCUGCCGCAGUCCCCACAGUAAGUAGCCAUUCAGUUCUUCCACGAAAUCCUUGCACGGUUCAUAGCAUGUCUCAUGAAUGCGUUAUCUGUAACUUCAGCUGGCGAGCGUGAGGAUGCUGCCGUGGGCCAAGACGCACCUGAACCCCGCCGGGCAGGCGCUCAUCAUCUCCACCGUCGCCGGGAUGGCCUACUUCAUCGUCGCCGACAAGACCAUCCUCUCCAUGGCCAGGAAGCAUUCCUUCGAGGACGCGCCGGACCACCUCAAGAACACCUCCUUCCACUAAUUAGGCUAUACUUUCAAUAAUUAGUAGUAGUGCGCAAUAAACUACACGCCGGCCCGUACGGCCGUACGUGUCUGCUGAAUGAUACUAGUAUGAUGUUCAGCGAGAGAGGCGAGGCGAUGCAGAUCAGGCCUCGCGCUUCUAUCCGUGCAAGCACUUAUCUCAUGAAGUUACCAUGUAAUCCAGCUAGUAUUCUUGGAUAAAUGAAUACUAGUAUUUGUACAACUCUAGUUCAUCUGCCAUCACUCAUCUUACAUGUGGCAGAGCAUAAAAAAAGAAUCUCCGACGCCGACCCCUAAAACGGACACUAUACCCGUUUGUGAGCCGGUCAUUUGACGCUAAUCCAUCAAACGUCCAGGCACAUUUCAAAUAGAUUUUAAGCAAACUAGAUAAAGCUCAUAUAGAUCAAACGAUUUUCAUUUAAUCCAGGUCAAAUUCAUUACAUUUUAGAUAUAUUUCAACUAAACAAAACCGGACGACACUGUUUACCCCGGUCUAAAUAUUCGUCGGUCGUGGAGGCCUUCGUGUUCCGCAUCAUGUCUUUACCAUGUCCGGCAAGUUCAGUGGCCGCAAGCUUUUGUGAAGUGAAGUGGCCGGAGGGGAAGAAUAUAACAUCAUGUCUUUACCAUGUCUGGCAAGUUCAGUGGCCGCAAGCUUUUGUGAAGUGAAGUUGCCGGAGGGGAAGAAUAUAAGAUGGGACACGACUCACAUGGGACCCGAGACUUGCCCACAUCAUGUUCUUCCCGGCCAGAGUCCAUCAUGUGGACGUUGCCGGGCAUGGAUGGAUCGGCCUCGUGGCCAUUACGGUUAGGCACGAACCGUGCUAGCGGCGCGACCAACGAGGAACUGGCGACGUCUGUGAUGUUUCUGCCCCAUCUUCGUCCGUCUCCGCGUCGAUCUCCAUGAGCAGGGUGUUAAUCGCCUCUUGCAGGACGCAUUGCCGCCAUCGCUUGCGAGGGAUGUCGUGAACUGCGGCCAACGACCAUGAGGCGAGUCCAUUCAACAUUUCCGACACGGAGGUUGUCUCAUCUCCAACGACAAGUACAACCAGGAUAGUUUGAUCUAUGUACGAUGUAGUACGUGGUUUAAUUUUAUGUUCCAUGAUGUAGCAUAAAAAAAGUAGAGGAUGAGAUUUGAGGUUUAGAGUAUCUCUAGCAGACCCCGAAAACGAGGACCUGUAAACUCAGUUUAAAGUUCGCUCAUUGCCUCGGAUACGGGCCGAAAACCUCCGCGAAAGAACAGAAACCGUAAAUGGAACUGUAAAUUUUGAAUUCAAGACUUCGCGGAAGAAAUAGAAGAGUUCAUAGUUCUUGAUCAGCAUACAUAGUUCAUACAUACACUAAAUUACACUAAAUAGCUAGGAGGAUAGGCAGCCACCGUAACCCUACAGUUAAAAAUUGGCUCAUCGGAGCCAUCAUGGUGCGGUGGCGACACUGCGGCGGCGGACAUCAUCAGUCGUCGGAAACGAGGUCGACGUAGAUGUCGUCCCGCGCCUUCUUCUCGCGGCGCCGUGUGUCUUGGUUGUCGACGAACUCCUUCUUCGCGAGCUCCUGCUCGAGGAGGACAUCGUCGAGGUUCACAAGGGAUUGUCGGCGCCCCUCCUCCUCCCCCCGCACACUGUGCACCAUGAUUGCCCACUCGAAGAUGUCCGCNNNNNNNNNNNNNNNNNNNNNNNNNNNNNNNNNNNNNNNNNNNNNNNNNNNNNNNNNNNNNNNNNNNNNNNNNNNNNNNNNNNNNNNNNNNNNNNNNNNNNNNNNNNNNNNNNNNNNNNNNNNNNNNNNNNNNNNNNNNNNNNNNNNNNNNNNNNNNNNNNNNNNNNNNNNNNNNNNNNNNNNNNNNNNNNNNNNNNNNNNNNNNNNNNNNNNNNNNNNNNNNNNNNNNNNNNNNNNNNNNNNNNNNNNNNNNNNNNNNNNNNNNNNNNNNNNNNNNNNNNNNNNNNNNNNNNNNNNNNNNNNNNNNNNNNNNNNNNNNNNNNNNNNNNNNNNNNNNNNNNNNNGGCGUGCGGGGACUGGACCCCCGAUGGAGGAGGAGCCCGCACCGGCGGUCGUACUCCUCCAUCUCACGGAGGAGGAGCGACUCCAGGGAGUGGAGGUCGUGGUUGGUGUACUUCUUUGCCGCGCGCUUCCUCGCGCCUUCAGCUCGGACACGCCGCUGGCGCUCGGGGUCGUCCCUCCCGCCGAAGCUGCGGCCGGAGCUCCACAUUCCGCCCCACAUAGUGGCAUUCGGUGGCGGGACUGGACUCACCGGCGACGAGAAAUAGAAGGGGGAUUGGGGAGGAUUGGGGAAUCGCGGCGGCGGGGGAUAGGGUUUCGACCCGUAUCGGCGCCGCGAACCCGUAGAUAUACCGCGUCCGGGGACGGCUUGCGGGCCACCAUAAAAUGUUUUACGGGCCGGGCGAGAAUACGGGCUCUGUUCUGGACAAAAAAAAUGGGCGAGCCCGUACAGUCGUCGGGAUUUUACGGGUCUACGCGUUUUGAGGGGUCUGCUACAGAUGCUCUUAUGGUUGCAGCGAAAGAUAAAUGAAGGGUGACCCGGCUCUGUCCAGGGAUGGGUCCAGAUGCAUUUGCGAACAUAUGGGGUCACUUUUGAAAUAUGCAGCUGUAGAUAUUGUAACAUUACCAAGAUUUUCACGGAAUUGUAUCGGGAUGCUUUUGUGUGUGGAAAAGAAUAACUAGUUUCCUACCUCUUCAUCUUUUUUUUGCAGGAAAGACUAAAAUAAAUCUAGAAAAAUGCAAUCACCAAUGCCAAUUCUAGAAUUGGAAUCUUGGUGGGCUAGGAUACCACUGUUCUCCUAACCAUCGAAUCAUUUGCUUCUGCCUUUUCAUCUUAAUAAUUCACACAUCCAUAUUUAUAUUUAUUAUAAACAAUUGUGAGUAGGAGUAAUAAAAUUCAGCACAAAUCAAUCAGUGGCGGGAGAAACAACGCCACAACCGGUGUAGGCAAACAUGCCUACACAAAAAGCAUAAUAUUGCAUCAUCUAUCCUACGUGAAAUGUUAAGUUAUUUUUAAUUAAAGAUAAAUUAUUUGCCUCAUCUAUUAAGUAAGAAAAGACAUGGGAGGAGCGUUUUGGCUACUGGGAGCAUUUACUCCUGGAUGAGCGGUACCGCCAAAAAGGUUGUAAAUCGUUUUUAAAAAAUUCUGAUUUUUUAUGGAUGUUCGUGUUAGUGUCGCAACCUUGCUUGACAAAUUUCAUGCGAUUCGGAAUAUCAGUGUUUCAUCGGUGAAAAACCAAAUUUGGGGUGACAUUUUGGGGCAGCAUUUGAUGUUCAUAUUUGUUUUGUUUUCAUAGGCCAAAAUGUUUAACCUUUUUGCCCAAAACUUUGCAGUAGCAUUUGGAUCUAAGUAUAAAUACAUAAAAUAAUUGUUGGAAUUUUUGUAACAUUUCAAAAAAUUGUUUUUCACACGCAGGAGCACAUGCUCCUGGGAGCCAAAUUGGAUUUCCGGAGAAUGACUCUAAAUAAAAUAAAAGGACAAUAGAGUGUGUGUUAGAAGCCGAAAAUGUGCUCAUUUUUAUUGUAUUCAUUUGAUGCUUUAUUUUGAGUAAUAUAAAAAGCACGAUGGUGAGGCCGACCCCGCCAAACAAAGGAUCAGGCGCUCGCGGAAUUGGAUCGCCGACGGGUUGACCGUAUACUGGGAGCGCCCACACAGGUCGCCAACAAACGGAGUGCACGCAGACAGAUACUGCUCUCACGCACAUGCUCCUACGUGUUAUCCUACGCACCAACACGCUCCCCGGCAACCCCGAUGGGUCGAUCCGCUGCAGAGCCCGCCACUUGUGUUCUGCCGCACCAAAAAAACCACGGUCUUGCUGGCUUCCCACCGUAUCAGGUCGUCUUCCUGCCCGGCCGCACGCUGGUUGAGCGGUUUCCUGCAACCUAUAAAUCCCGCCGGAUCACCUCGCUCUGCCCAUCUCAUCUCACUCGCAUUCACUCAACUGAUACUACUAGCUAGUCCACUUCCUUCGGAUCUCUUGCCACCAAGCUCUGCUCCCGCCAAGAUGUCGACGGUGACCCGCGCCUACCUCGACCAGAGGCUCGCCGCCGCCAAGCGCUGCUCCAAAGGUAACGGUUCGGGCCUCAGGCCAGCACUGCUCUGCUCGUAUAUCCCACCCAUUGCAGCCUAUGCUUGUGCUGAAACCUGACCUGGAUUAACAUUUCCCUACGUUGAUCCGAAACUGCAGAGGCUGCCAUGGCGGGAGCCAAGGCGGCGGCCGUCGCCACCGUCGCUGCCGCAGUGCCCACAGUAAGUAGCCGUUCAGUUCUUCAGUUCCAGAGUUCAUAGCACAUAUCUCAUGAAUGCGUCACCUGUAAUUUCAGCUGGCGAGCGUGAGGAUGCUGCCGUGGGCGAAGGCGCACCUGAACCCGACCGGGCAGGCCCUCAUCAUCUCCACCGUCGCCGGGAUGGCCUACUUCAUCGUCGCCGACAAGACCAUCCUCUCCAUGGCCAGGAAGCACUCGUACGAGACGGCGCCAGAGCACCUCAAGAACACCUCCUUCAACU
This 17722-nucleotide long non-coding RNA is filed under the name Triticum aestivum (bread wheat). RNAcentral's name for it is "long non-coding RNA (TAES_LNC002311)". Lineage: Eukaryota; Viridiplantae; Streptophyta; Magnoliopsida; Poales; Poaceae. The record is from RNAcentral.